Molecule: long non-coding RNA, 248 nt
Organism: Oncorhynchus keta (chum salmon)
Lineage: Eukaryota; Metazoa; Chordata; Actinopteri; Salmoniformes; Salmonidae
Exons: 4
Source: RefSeq, a predicted model, not a curated record
GCAUGCUGCGUUUUAGAUGGUACGAGGUAGAUGGUACGAGGUAGACGGCAUGCUGCGUUUUAGAUGGUACGAGGUAGACGGCAUGCUGCGCUUUAGAUGGUACGAGGUAGAUGGCAUGCUGCGUUUUAGAUGGUACGAGGUAGACGGCAUGCUGCGCUUUAGAUGGUACGAGGUAGACGGCAUGCUGCGUUUUAGAUGGUACGAGGUAGACGGCAUGCUGCGUUUUAGAUGGUACGAGGUAGACGGCA